RNAcentral lists this ribosomal RNA (497 nucleotides) under uncultured bacterium. Its description in RNAcentral is "partial 16S ribosomal RNA". It matches the Rfam family "Bacterial small subunit ribosomal RNA", at positions 28 to 507 of the family's 1533-position model. The record is from RNAcentral.
GACGAACGCUGGCGGCGUGCCUAAUACAUGCAAGUCGAGCGCUGAAGCUUGGUACUUGUGCCAAUUGGAUGAGCAGCGAACGGGUGAGUAACGCGUGGGGAAUCUGCCUUUGAGCGGGGGACAACAUUUGGAAACGAAUGCUAAUACCGCAUAAAAACUUUAAACACAAGUUGUAAGUGUGAAAGAUGCCAUUGCAUCACUCAAAGACGAUCCCGCGUUGUAUUAGUUAGUUGGUGAGGUAAAGGCUCACCAAGGCGAUGAUACGUAGCCGACCUGAGAGGGUGGUCGGCCGACUUGGGACUGGGACACGGCCCAAACGCCUUCGGGUAGGCACCAGAGGGGAACUUCGGCAAUGGGGGGAAAGCUGACCGCACAACGCCGCGGUGGGGGAGAAGGUUUUCGGGUCGGAAAACUCUGUUUGUAGGGAAGAACGUUGGUGAGAGUGGAACGCUCAUCAAGUGACGGUAACUACCCAGAAAGGAACGGCUAACUACGUG